GAUGAACGCUGGCGGCGUGCCUAAUACAUGCAAGUCGAGCGAACAGACGAGGAGCUUGCUCCUCUGACGUUAGCGGCGGACGGGUGAGUAACACGUGGAUAACCUACCUAUAAGACUGGGAUAACUUCGGGAAACCGGAGCUAAUACCGGAUAACAUAUUGAACCGCAUGGUUCAAUAGUGAAAGACGGUUUUGCUGUCACUUAUAGAUGGAUCCGCGCCGCAUUAGCUAGUUGGUAAGGUAACGGCUUACCAAGGCAACGAUGCGUAGCCGACCUGAGAGGGUGAUCGGCCACACUGGAACUGAAACACGGUCCAUGCUACUACGGGAGGCAGCAGUAGCGAAUCUUCCGCAAUGGGCGGAAGCCUGACGGAACGACGCCGCGUGAGUGAUGAAGGUCUUCGGAUCGUAAAACUCUGUUAUUAGGGAAGAACCAAUGUGUAAGUAACUAUGCACGUCUUGACGGUACCUAAUCAGAAAGCCACGGCUAACUACGUG
RNAcentral lists this ribosomal RNA (497 nucleotides) under uncultured bacterium. RNAcentral's name for it is "partial 16S ribosomal RNA". It matches the Rfam family "Bacterial small subunit ribosomal RNA", at positions 28 to 507 of the family's 1533-position model. The record is from RNAcentral.